Molecule: ribosomal RNA, 460 nt
Filed under: uncultured bacterium
Lineage: Bacteria
Description: partial 16S ribosomal RNA
Rfam family: Bacterial small subunit ribosomal RNA
Source: RNAcentral
CCUACGGGGAGCUGCAGUGAGGAAUAUUGGUCAAUGGACGCAAGUCUGAACCAGCCAUGCCGCGUGCAGGAAGACGGCUCUAUGAGUUGUAAACUGCUUUUGUACGAGGGUAAACUCAGAUACGCGUAUCUUUCUGAAAGUAUCGUACGAAUAAGGAUCGGCUAACUCCGUGCUAGCAGCCGCGGUAAUACGGAGGAUUCAAGCGUUAUCCGGAUUUAUUGGGUUUAAAGGGUGCGUAGGCGGUCGGAUAAGUUAGCGGUGAAAUCCCGAGGCUCAAAUUCGGAAUUGCCUCUGAUACUGUUCGGCUAGAGAGUAGUUGCGGUAGGCGGAAUGUAUGGUGUAGCGGUGAAAUGCUUAGAGAUCAUACAGAACACCGAUUGCGAAGGCAGCUUACCAAGCUACUUCUGACGUUGAGGCACGAAAGCGUGGGGAGCAAACAGGAUUAGAUACCCGAGUAGUC